Molecule: non-coding RNA, 99 nt
Organism: Dendrothele bispora CBS 962.96
Lineage: Eukaryota; Fungi; Basidiomycota; Agaricomycetes; Agaricales
Source: the annotation of a GenBank genome assembly
GUCCGCGUAGCUCAGUGGUAGAGCAUUGUACUUAUGGGUUGCCUCUUCCCCGGCGCAUGAGAUAUGCAAGGGUCUCCAGUUCAAUCCUGGGCGUGGACA